RNAcentral lists this ribosomal RNA (269 nucleotides) under uncultured bacterium. RNAcentral describes it as "partial 16S ribosomal RNA". It matches the Rfam family "Bacterial small subunit ribosomal RNA", at positions 338 to 604 of the family's 1533-position model. The record is from RNAcentral.
CCUACGGGGGGCAGCAGUGAGGAAUAUUGGUCAAUGGGCGCGAGCCUGAACCAGCCAAGUAGCGUGCAGGAAGACUGCCCUACGGGUUGUAAACUGCUUUUAUACGGGAAUAAUUUGAUGCACGUGUGCGUUUUUGCAUGUAUCUUAUGAAUAAGGAUCGGCUAAUUCCGUGCCAGCAGCCGCGGUAAUACGGAGGGUCCAGGCGUUAUCCGGAUUUAUUGGGUUUAAAGGGAGCGUAGUUGGGUUGUUAAGUGUGUUGUGAAAUUUUG